UUGAGAGUUUGAUCCUGGCUCAGAUUGAACGCUGGCGGCAGGCCUAACACAUGCAAGUCGAGCGGUAACAGAGAGAAGCUUGCUUCUUUGCUGACGAGCGGCGGACGGGUGAGUAAUACUUGGGAACUUGCCUCUAGGCGGGGGACAACCACUGGAAACGGUGGCUAAUACCGCAUAAUGUCUACGGACCAAAGUGGGGGACCUUCGGGCCUCACACCUAGAGAUGGGCCCAAGCGGGAUUAGCUAGUUGGUGAGGUAAAGGCUCACCAAGGCGACGAUCCCUAGCUGUUCUGAGAGGAUGAUCAGCCACACUGGGACUGAGACACGGCCCAGACUCCUACGGGAGGCAGCAGUGGGGAAUAUUGCACAAUGGGCGCAAGCCUGAUGCAGCCAUGCCGCGUGUGUGAAGAAGGCCUUCGGGUUGUAAAGCACUUUCAGUGGUGAGGAAGGUCAGUAAGUUAAUAGCUUGCUGAAUUGACGUUAGCCACAGAAGAAGCACCGGCUAACUCCGUGCCAGCAGCCGCGGUAAUAC
RNAcentral lists this ribosomal RNA (532 nucleotides) under Idiomarina baltica. RNAcentral's name for it is "bacterial SSU rRNA". It matches the Rfam family "Bacterial small subunit ribosomal RNA", at positions 1 to 526 of the family's 1533-position model. Lineage: Bacteria; Pseudomonadati; Pseudomonadota; Gammaproteobacteria; Alteromonadales; Idiomarinaceae. The record is from RNAcentral.